GUAAUAGUACCUGAAACCAUGUGCCUACAAGCGGUCGGAGCCCGAUUUAACGGGUGACGGCGUGCCUUUUGCAUAAUGAUCCGGCGAGUUAGCGUAAACGGCCCGGUUAAGAGUCUCCGGCUCGGAGCCAUAGGGAAACCAAGUCUGAACAGGGCGUUUGUCGUUAGUGCUAGACGCGAAACCCAGUGAUCUACCCAUGAGCAGGUUGAAGCGCGGGUUAUACUGCGUGAAGGACCGAACCCACUUGGGUUGAAAACCGAGGGGAUGACUUGUGGGGAGGAGUGAAAGUCUAAUCAAACUGGGAGAUAGCUCGUUCUUUCCGAAAUAGCUUUAGGGCUAGCCUUGAGCCACUAUGCAGCGGGGGUAGAGAUACUGAAUUGGACUGGGGCGACUCACAUCGUACCCAUCCGAACCAAACUCCGAAUACCGUUGUAAUUAUCUCAGGAGUCAGUCCGCGAGGGAUAAGCUUCGCGGUCGAGAGGGAAACAACCCAGACCAUCUGCUAAGGUCCCCAAAUCAUUCUCAGUCACUAAGGAAGUUCAAUUGCUGAGACAGCCAGGAUGUUGGCUUAGAAGCAGCCAUCAUUUAAAAAGUGCGUAACAGCUUACUGGUCGAGCAAUUGAGCGCCGAUAAUGAACGGGAGUAAGAAUGAUACCGAAGCAAUGGAAUCGCAAGAUUGGUAGGAAAGCGCUCCAAGGGAGAUACAAGCCGUACGGUAACGAGCGGUAGCGGCCCUUGGAGGUGAUUAUGCCGGAAUGAGUAACGAUAAAACAGGUGAUGAAUCCUGUUCGCCGAAAGCCUAAGGUUUCCUGGGGAAGGUAAAUCCGCCCAGGGUUAGCCGGUCCCUUAGUCAAGGCCGAAAGGCGUAGACGAUGGACAGCAGGUUAAUAUUCCUGCGCUGCGGACAUGGACCGAUGGAGGGACGGCGUUUGAAUGGUGAGCAGCCGAUUAGAAAUGGCUGUGGACCACCUGAUGUUUCACGGGUUAAAAGACGUGAUAUCGCAGAGGGUGGGACUAAAGAUCUGAAUCCGUUAAUCAUCUGAAGAACGUCCAAGAAAAGCUUCUAAGGGUUGAAAUGUUCGUAACCGUACUAAAACUGACACAGGUAGGCGGGUUGAGUAUACUAAGGCGCUCGGGAGAAUACUGGUUAAGGAACUCUGCAAAAUGAUCCCGUACGUUCAAUGAUCCCGUACGUUCGCAAUAAGGGAUGCCCUUGGGGGUGCAAGCUUCCGGGGGUCACAGUAAAUCGGUAUCAGCAACUGUUUAUCAAAAACACAGGACCGUGCAAACACGCAAGUGGAAGUAUACGGUCUGACGCCUGCCCGGUGCCGGUAAGUUAAGGAAGGGGGUUAUCGCAAGAGAAGCUCUCGACCGAAGCUCCGGUAAACGGCGGCUCUAACCUUGAGAGUCCUAAGGUAGCGAAGUUCCUUGUCGGGUAAGUUCCGACCUGCAUGAAAGGAUGAAAGGCGUAAUGACUGAUACACUGUCUCAACCAGUAACCCGGUGAAAUUGUAGUCGUGGUGAAGAUGCCACGUACCCGCAGUAAGACGGAAAGACCCCGUGAACCUUUACUGUAGGCUGAUAUUGGUCUGAGACCUAAUUUGUGUAGGAUAGGUGGGAGGCAUCGAAGCGAGGGCGCUAGCCUUUGUGGAGCCAACGUUGAAAUACCACCCUGAUUAUGUUUUAGUUCUAACACCGAUUCCCUUGAAACAGGGCGGUGGACAGUUUCAGUUGGGCAGUUUGACUGGGGCGGUCUCCUCCGAAAGAGUAACGGAGGAGUUCAAAGGUACCCUCAGCCUGUUUGGCAAUCAGGCGUUGAGCGU
RNAcentral lists this ribosomal RNA (1823 nucleotides) under termite gut metagenome. Its description in RNAcentral is "bacterial LSU rRNA". It matches the Rfam family "Bacterial large subunit ribosomal RNA", at positions 540 to 2352 of the family's 2925-position model. The record is from RNAcentral.